Molecule: unclassified non-coding RNA, 2877 nt
Filed under: Hevea brasiliensis (rubber tree)
Lineage: Eukaryota; Viridiplantae; Streptophyta; Magnoliopsida; Malpighiales; Euphorbiaceae
Source: RNAcentral
GAGGAAUUUGCUCAAGGCAGACAUUUCUUGACUUCAAGUUUGUUACUUUGCUUCAAAACAUAAAUAAGAGUGGGGGUGGGGGUAUGGUGCCCUUUCUUUGCUUGCUAGUUUAUAUAUUUUAUUUGAAUAUGUUGACAUUAUACAAGAUUUUUUACCGCUGAAAAGUCUACCAUCAUGACGCAAUUGCUUGGUGGCCCCAUUUCUAACGAAACCACAAGCAGACUACGCAGAGAAAUAGAGUUGAGUCAUAGAAUACUCCCACAAUCACUGCUCUUUACCCUCAGAAAAAAUCAAUCAUCUUAAAAUAUGAAGAGUGGAUCACGAGUGAACGUGCAUGUACCCCAAGAGCACCCGAUAAUCUCUGGAACUACAUCAAUUUUCUAGCCAUACGUACCCCAAUCACACACCAUAAAAACAAGGAACCGGAAACCAUGUUCCCAUACCUGUCACAGGUGACACUCUUCACUCCCAAUUGCCAAAUGAUAUACAAAGCACAUUCCAGUAUCCAAAUACUAGGUCAGAGAUAUUCCAAUAUAUGAGGAGGUAGAGGCUUGAAAAUAUAAAAUCUUUCACAGAUAUUUGGACAGAUCUUUUUGAUUCUCCAGAUCCCAAAUAACCACUCUCCCAUCCAAUCCUGAAGUGCUGAAGCGCAGUGUCCUAGAACUGCCCUCCUCCCGAAGAGGCACGAUACAACUGUAGUUAGAAGAAACCAAGUGUUAUGCAAUAAUCUCCAUAAAAUCUAAAAGUGGUUAAAAGAGAUCACUGCCAACUAAAUCACACUCCCUUUGGGCUAAGAUCCCCUUAUGUUUGUGCAAACAUGAUACAACAUGUUUAUACAAUCUCAAUUCUCAACCCUUCAAUUUAAAAUGAAAGGUAAAUAUUUCAUAAUUCGUAUAUAACCAGCUACAAUCUAAAAAUUAAAAUUUAAUUUUUAAUAAAAUUUCAACCAUUUAGUUUGAAUUUAAGGAAUAAGAUUAGACAAACAUGAGGAUCCAAAUCCCAUUAGUUUCCUCCAUACAGCAUACAAACAUGCAUAUGGGGGCAGAGCAAUCAGCAAGUGAAUUUAGGUUCGGGCUAAUGGAACUGAAAAUUUUUAGGUGACCAACAAAAAUUUCUCCCUGCUCCAAGCAUAAUUUUUCUGCCCCCUCACACAUUGGAGGGACCAUUGAUGUCAGAGGACAGAACUUUAAGCCCAAAGUAGAAAUAACUUCUCAGCAAACCUAUUAAAAUAACAAAUAAUAGGGAAAAGAAAAAACAACAGAGCAGUUAAAAGUGACAAAAGUACUUUAUGCAGUUCUCAUGAAUGCCUCCACAUGAUCAACGCUCAUACCAGUCUUUGAUUGGCCAUAAAAUUUUCCAAACGCCUCCGAGAACUGUGAACCAUACUUUGAAACUGAAAAUGACGAUUUCCUUUCACCAAGGAACCUGACAAAGCUCCUAAAAAAAUAAGGAAAAAACAAAAAUAUCACUUCACUAGUCUCCCUAUAUCUCACUCAAAAACACAAGCCAUCUUAUGCAUAGUCACUAGAGACAUUGUAGAAGUUCUCCCUUGUCAAAAUCCCUAGAUUUAUGGAUAUGGGAGAGCUACUCAAGCUGGCAAAUAAUCAUCAACUUGAUAACCCCUCAAUGUCUACCAAAACCAAUGUUCUCCCCCAUCAAAUACACAACAGAACUAUAUGAAAACUGUUCUUUACAAGAAAGCAUCAAUCGUCCUACAUCAACCCUAUGUGAAAUAGAAUGCAAAUCUGCAAUCAGUGAAAUAAUGUAACUUUCAAAAGGAGGACAAAUUACCAAUUAAUUAGCUACGCAUACACAUGACUCUAAAACAUUACUUUGAUAUAUCUACAUAAACAACCCAGUUAACGCCAAAAGUUUGCCACUUGAGGCUGGCAAGCAAGUCUAACGUGCAGAAAAAUAAAAAUAAAAGGAUACAAAUCCAAGUCCAACCUCAAGUAACCUCCCUCCCCCAACCUCAAGUGCUUACAAAAUCAAUAGUUCUUCUGUAAGUUUUACAUACCAUAUUCCUCUUUCAUCAGCUCCAAAAACCAUUGGGUUGCAAUCAAAUCCCACACCUAUGACCAUUUUCUCAGAAACAAAGAAGACCCACAUCACGGAGAGGUAAAUCACAAAAUGCAACAUUUUGGGCCAGUGGAGAAGGACCAACAUCAUCAACAAAGUAAAUCAUAGAAUUAUGACCUACAAAAUAGUGCAAAUGGCAGAUAUACAAGGUGAGCCAACCCCAACAGGUUCCAAUGUAGUUGAUGCACCUAAGGUUUAUAUGCCUAGAAACUUAAAAUAGAUAAAUAAGCACAUGAAAAUCAGGUAAAAGUGAGGUGCAAGGUUCUUAUUAAUUUCAGGCAAUGAAAGCUAUUUAAAAGCCUUGAAAGCAUAAAGUAUAUAAAUUAAAAUAAAAUUUUCUGCCAAAUGGAAUUUAAUUAGAUAUAGUGAAUAAAACUUAUAAGACUACUAAUAAUGCAUAGCACUUUGACCUUGCAAGUGACAUACGGCAGAGAUAUUUCUGACCUACAUAAGCUAAAGUAUUGCCACUUGGUGACCACUUAACACCACAUACCCAGGAAAAUGAGAGAUCAAGCUGAAUAAUUUGCUGUUUCAACAGAAAAUUAGCAUGAAAAAAGUUAAUGCCAUGCAGCAUCAAUAAAAUGACAGAAGGAUGAAACAAAUAUAUAUAUCAAAAUAUUACAAUCUAAUUAGGGAUCAAACAAUUCAGAUGAAGGAAAAAUUACAAAAAGCUCACAAAGUGCAUAAUUGCAAUUCUAAAUGCAAUAACAAAGGUUCACAUUAAGAUCUUUAUAGCCUUAGGUUUCCUGCCAAAACAAAUCAAGCAUUUAUAAUUUUUGCAUGACAUUUUUUGUGUGC